CGCUGGCGGCGUGCCUAAUACAUGCAAGUCGAACGCACUCUCGUUUAAGAUUGAAAGGAGCUUGCUCCUGAUUGAUAAACAUUUGAGUGAGUGGCGGACGGGUGAGUAACACGUGGGUAACCUGCCCUAAAGUGGGGGAUAACAUUUGGAAACAGAUGCUAAUACCGCAUAAAACCUAACACCGCAUGGUGUAGGGUUGAAAGAUGGUUUCGGCUAUCACUUUAGGAUGGACCCGCGGUGCAUUAGUUAGUUGGUGAGGUAAAGGCUCACCAAGACCGUGAUGCAUAGCCGACCUGAGAGGUAAUCGGCCACACUGGGACUGAGACACGGCCCAGACUCCUACGGGAGGCAGCAGUAGGGAAUCUUCCACAAUGGACGAAAGUCUGAUGGAGCAACGCCGCGUGAGUGAAGAAGGUUUUCGGAUCGUAAACUCUGUUGUUGGAGAAGAAUGUAUCUGAUAGUAACUGAUCAGGUAGUGACGGUAUCCAACCAGAAAGCCACGGCUAACUACGUG
This 514-nucleotide ribosomal RNA is filed under the name uncultured bacterium. Its description in RNAcentral is "bacterial SSU rRNA". It matches the Rfam family "Bacterial small subunit ribosomal RNA", at positions 34 to 507 of the family's 1533-position model. The record is from RNAcentral.